AGGCCACUUAUCGCUGGCUCUGGCCUUGGCAACCUCCACCCCCGUCCCGGUCCUCUCAGCCUAUCUCUGGAAACCACUCUUUUCACUCCGAAUCUCAACUUGAAGUUUGGGGAAACUUGACGCAGCCAAAGCCCAUCCUCUGCUCUGCACCUGGCAGGAGACUAAUAGUCAGGGAAGAUGGGCAUGUUGUGGGUGGGGGUGGAGAACGGUGUGUCCCUGACCUGCCCUGACAUGCUAACCUGGAUGCGCUGUUGUCUUGGCCUUCAGCGCCACGUAUUUUCCCUCGACAGUAACUUGGCAAGCUUUUCAUGUCACUCUGGCAUCGCUCAGAUUAUCAGCUACCCUUCAGAAAAAGAGCCCUGCGUUUCGAUGGCUAAGGAACUCUGACAGGAAGAGGAGAGGUCCCGACUAGAGGAGGGGGCAGCAUUCAUCUUUUGGCACCGGAGCUGCGGAAGAAGCCCAGGAGCUCAUUCUCGAUGAGCGCGUUGUAGAUAAUCUUCAGAUUGUAAUUCCUCUGCGCGUCCAGUGUCCUAUUCAGCACCACCACUAAGACCUGGGUUUGCGGGUAGAGGAAAAAACCGGCUACAGGGACAGCCCCGAACGCCCGGUCCUCGGCCAGCUGCACUUUCUCCACCGCCACUCGGGAAGCGUGCAGCACUACGUAGCGGGUGGCGUUCCGGCACGCGAUCUCCACGUUGACCUCCCCGGAGAAGGUGAAGUUCUCCAUGAAGGCGGUGAGCAUCAGAUUGUAGUGCAGCGGCUUCAGGUGGCCCGACAGGCGCAGCUGCGUCCACGGCUCCCACGGCUCCCGCUCCUCCUCCGACGGCGGCUGGGCCGACGUGGUCCCCGGACUGGCCACCCCACCCGCCUCGGGCUGCCAGGAGUCCCCGCCUGCGUGGUGGUUGCGCCGGGCCGAUCCAGGGAGGCUCCCGUUGCCGCCGCGCUCCGGAAAGCCUGAGGGGCCACCGUCGGCGCCUGGCGUGGCACUCGCCCCGCACUCGUCGAAGCGCAGGCUGAGCAGCACAGCGAGCAUUGUGACCGCGAGCAAUGCCACGAGGGACACAGCGAAGGCCAGCACAAGCCGCUUGUGUACGGCGAUGUGGCGCUCCGUGGUGCGGGGUCGCACUCCCACUGAGUCUGCCCACGGGUCGGAGAGCCCCCUGCUGCCAGCCCGAAGCGCGGCGUCGUCUUCCCCCAUCGCGGCUGCGAAGGCGGCGGCGUUCGGUCCUCUGGGUGGAAUGUGCUCGCAGCAGCAGUGACGGCGGCCACAGCACGGGAGGCACCCGAGCCAUACACCCUGCAGCUGGAGAGAAAAGGAUGGCCGAGGUGGGAGAGACUAGAGUGAACCAGCAGGAGGAAGUCCCAGGGCCGCGAAGCUACGACGGAGAUCCGUCCUGGAAAAGCCUUCUCCACCCUGGGCACUUUAAGCGGCGGUGGCGGCAAACGGCAGGAGGUUGCAGACCCGACAGCGAGACUCCCUCAUUCCAGUCUUGCUCUGCCCUCCGGAGAUGACAAGUGAGAAAGAAGUGUCCGGCCGGGCCAUCCCCUUCAGAGAAGCAACCACUUCACAAGAAGAUUCUGAAGUUGGCCAUUUUUGAUCCCAGAACAGUUUCUCAUAGAUUAGAAAUAUUGGAGUCUACACAAAAAUCGAUAUUCAUUUACAAGAUCAUCACUAAACUUAUCUUGCAUAACGUCUCUGCCAGCCACAUUAACUGCCUGCAGAAAAGUUUGUUAUGACUGCCUGGUUUUGUAAAGUCCAGACAACUUUACACUAAGCUGAAUAAUGUUCAUUUACUCAAAAGCUAGUCUAAAAUUGUAGAGUUAAUGAACACUAAACCAAAGUUAGUGCUUUAACUGAAAGAUAAUUUACUGUACCCUUUGGAGUCCAGUCCGGUACCAUCAAGAUCUGGGAAAAUACAACUGUUACCAAGAAUAACUGUAAAAUGUGCUGGGAAUGCAAUGUCCUGAGAUAAGGAAGAACUGCCUGAAACAGCCUGGAUCUUAUUCCUGUACUUCCUAGGGAAUGUAACAUCUCAAGUUAAAGAGGAACUGCCCGGAACAGCCCGGGGAUUGUUCCUCUCUCCUGAGAAGGAAGAUUACCUCCAAAGCUCAUCCACUGAGUCACACUGCCCCUGUGGUGGAGGGCGGGCUGCCUUUCCAGGUUCCUCAGCUGUGGUGUAACUGAAGCAGGCACAAUCAAGACUCCAUCUGCUCGAGGCAGCUUUCUCGAACCUUGGGGAACCUACUCACAAUGGAUCACAGGCUUCUUUUGUUUUGUUUCUUGCUGCCUAUCUUGGGAAGCAAAAAUCAGCUGAGUGAAGAUGAGGAAGAAGGUGUUAAAGGUUUGAAGAAAAAAGGAAAAGGAUAUACUAAUCUAAGAGGACAAGUAAGUAGAACAUAGAUAAUGAAAAUGCUGGCCCUUAGGACUGUUGGGCCUAAAUGCUCAUAUUAUAUUGGUAGUCACAAAUUUGAACUUUCUCUAGAGCCAAUUUUUGCAUGUGUGUGCAGGCCUGGAGUAGUUGGAGAGUUGGAUUUAAUAGAAUUGAGGGUCAAGCAACUACAACCAGGGAAGAGUGGGACAAGGGAGAUAAAGGAUAUUGGCAGGGGAGCAAUUAUAAACAUGGACCAUGAUCAAAACUGGACAGGAAGGAAAAUAGAGAUAAGAGGGGUGGAAGGUUAAAAAUAGUGAAAAUGAGAUAGAAUGAAUAGGUUGUAGGUCCCUGUAAAGUUGAAGAAGUAUUAUUAUGCAGUACUCGUUAUUGAAAUGAGGUCACUAUGCUUAAGGCACAGUGAAUCCUAGAAAAUAGUGGUUUUGUUUCUCAUUAGGCAAUACAUUCCUCCUUGCUCCAGAAUGCAACAUACAUGUAUCCUUUUCUGUACUAUUUUUUAUUAAGAAUUCAUACUUAAUUCCACUGACUGCCACUCAAUUUUAAUGUACAGUAGGGAAUUCCUGUACUAUGUAUUAUGAAUCCAUUCCUUUGAAUUUCAUUUAUAAUACUUCAUGACUGACACCUGGCUUUCCACCAAGACUCAAUUUUCAUAGCAAGCCUCAUCAUCAUAAGCCCCCAAAUUAACAGGAUGAGGAGGAAGAAUUGGCAGGCUAAAGAAGAUGAUUAUAUCAAUUAAUGCAGAAAAAGCAUUUGAUAAAAUCCAAUAUUCAUUUGUAAUUAAAAACUCUCAGCAAGUUAGGGAUAGGAAUUACUUCAACUUAAUGAAGAGUGUCUUUAAAAACCUUAUUUUCAUCAGUUAUAACAAAUGUACCACUCUGGUGGUGAAUGUUGCUAAGGAGGGAAGCUAUACAUGUGUGGGGAAAGGAGAUGUGUGAGCAAUUUCUGUACCUUCUACUCAAUCUUCUGUGAGACUAAAAUUGCUGUAAAAAAUAAAGUUCAUUUUUUUAAAAACCUACAGCUGUCAUUCUUAAUGCUGAAAGACAGAAUGCUUUUCUCUAAGAUAGGGAACAAGGCAAAGAUUCAGUUCUCACCACUCCUAUUCAACACAGCACUACAAGUUCUAGCCACUGAAAUGGGGGUUGGGGGGAAGCAGAAGAAGAAAAGAAAUAAAAUGUAUACAGUUUCAAAAGGAAGAAUUAAAAUAGUCCCUGUGUGCAGAUGACAUGAUUGUCUAUUUAGUAAACCCAUGGAUUAUACAAAAAUAAAAUUCCGAGAACUUAAAAAGUGAUUUCAGCAAGAUCACAGGAUAUAAGAUCGAGAUGAAAACCAAUGUCAUUUCUAUAUACAGUAAGUCCUCUCUCUUAAUAUCAUCAAUAGGUUCUUGGAAACUGACUUUAAGCAAAACAACAUAAAACUAAACCCAAUUUUUCAUCAUCAAAGUUAUAACAAAAUGAUGUUGAACAAAACUACAUUAUUUCAGGACCUGCCAUACAUCAUGUCACUUAAAAUUACAGUUUCUAAGAACCUACCAAUGGCAUUAUGUGAGAAUUACUGUAGUAACAAUAAACGUAUGAAAACCAAAAUUAAAACACAUUUACAAUCAACCCAAGGAAAAUGAAAUAUUGAGGUAUAAACUUAAUGUUUUAUGAGGCAACUUAAUGAGGCAAAAAAAUGUAUACUAUCUGAUGCUGAAAAUUGCAAAUGCUGAUGAAAGAAAUCAGUGAUGACAAAUAAACAGAGAGACAUACUAUAGUCACAAAUUGGAAGACUCAACAUAGUAAAAAUGUCAAUUUGCCUCAAAGUAAUCUGUAGGUAUAAGACAAUUAUCAAAAUUCAGGGAAGUUUUUUGUAGGCAUUGGCUAGCCUAUUCUAAAAUUUAUAUGAAAAGCACAAACCUUAGAAUAUCUAAGAUAAUCUGAAAAGAAGAAUAAAGUGAGAGGAAUCACUCUACCUGAUAUUAAGCUUUAUAAUACAGUAACAGUACUCAAGACUGUGUGGUAUUUGCCAAGGCAUGGACUCAGAUCAAUGGAACAGAAGAGAAAACACAGGAAUAGACCCAUAUAAACAUUUCCAACUGAUUGUUUUCCAAUCGAUUUGUGACAAAAGUGCAGAAGUAAUUCAGUGAAGGAAGGAUAGCCUUGCAACAAGUUGUGCUGAAGCAGUGAGCACCCAUAGGCAAAAAGAAAAAGAGAACAUCAACCUUAACCUCACAUCUUAUACAAAAAUUAAUCCAAAAUUGAUAAUAGACUUAAAUGUAAAAUAUAAAACAUUUCACAAAAAUAGAAGAAAGUCUUCAGGAUCUAGGACUAGGCAAAUAAUUCUUAAAUGAUAUCAAAAGCAUAAUUCAUAAAGGGAAAAGUUGAUAAAUUAGACCUCAUUAAAAUUAAAAACUUAUGGAAAAUGUGCUGUUAAGAGGAUAAAAAAUAUAAGCUACAGACUGAAAGAAAAUAUUUGCAAGCCACAUAACUGACAAAGGACUAGUAUCUAGAAUAUAUAAAGAAUUUUCAAUACUCAGUUGUAAAAACAAAAUAAUUCAACCAGAAAAUUGAUAUGAGCAAACAUGUCACUGAAGAGGAUGUACAGAUGGCAAAAAUGCAUGUAAAAAGAUUUCAACUUCAUAAACCGUUAGGGAAAUGUGAAUUAAGCAACCAAUCAGAAUGGUUAAAAUGUUUAAAAAAUAGUAACACCACCAAAUAUUGGCAAGGAUAUAAAGGAAUCGAAUCACUCAUGCAUUGCUAGUAAAAAAUGUAAAGAGGUACAGCCACACUGGGAAACCUUUUCAUGGUUUUCUAAAAACUAAGCAUGGAGUUACCAUACAUCCCAGCAGUUCUACUCAUCAGCAUUUAUCCCAGAGAAAUAAAAAUUUAUGUUUACACUAAAACCUAUAUAUGAAUGUUCAUAAUAGCAUUUUUCAUAGUAGCCAAAAAUUGGAACCGUCUCAGGUGUCCUACCAUGGGUGAAUGGUUAAACAAACUAUGGUGCAUCUAUAUCUACCAUGAAGUAGAACUCAGCAAUAAAAAGGAAUGAACUAUUCAUACACCUUAUAACUUGGAUGCAUCUCCAGGUAAUUGUGCUGAGUGAAAAAAAAAAAAAAAAGCCCCAAUUCCAAAAGGUUAUAUACUCUAUGAUUCUACUUCUGCAAUGUUUAUUAAAUGAUAAAAUUACAGAAGUGGGAAAAUGAUUAGUGGUUUCCAGGGGGUAUAUACAGUAAGGGUGAGAGGGCCGGAAGAGUGCAGUUUUAUAAGGGCAACAUAAGGGACCCUUAUGGUGAUGGGACUGUUCUGUAUCUUGACUCUGUUGGUAGUCACAUGAAUCUACACAUGAUAAAAUUGCAUAGAAUUAAACAUAUAUACACACUCAAAUGAAUGCAUGUAAAACCGGUAAAAUCUGAAUAAGGUAAAUGGAUCAUAAUCAAUGUCAAUUUUCCAUUUGUGAUAUUAUACUAUAGUUAUGUAAGAUGAUGUUAGCAUUGGGAGAAACUGGGUGAUGGAUAUACAGAAUCUUUCUGUAUUAUUUCUUGUAAUUGCAUAUGUAUCUCAAUGGUCUCAAAAUAAAAAGUUAAAUAAAUAAGAGAGACCAAAAAGUGGCUUUCCAGUGGAGAACUGAGAUAAUCUGAGCAUCUUAUGCUCU
Molecule: long non-coding RNA, 6020 nt
Filed under: Homo sapiens (human)
Lineage: Eukaryota; Metazoa; Chordata; Mammalia; Primates; Hominidae
Description: non-protein coding TRHDE-AS1:13
Source: RNAcentral